Molecule: long non-coding RNA, 1081 nt
Filed under: Numida meleagris (helmeted guineafowl)
Lineage: Eukaryota; Metazoa; Chordata; Aves; Galliformes; Numididae
Description: lncRNA (ENSNMEG00000013846.1)
Source: RNAcentral
GUUCAGACACUGGAAAGCUCAUAUCUGGAGGUAAGUAGGUUCAAAGGAAAAGGAGACAUAGCACAGCGUAUAGCGAAAUGAUAUAACUCCUUACUAGUCCCAAUAGUUACACACAUUGAAUCAGAUUAGAUUCAGAUAUCGAGGUAGAGCCUUGUGCUAUAUUUCAUGAAAUGGGCCUCGGCAUAGAGAAAUCAUUAUCCUGUGCUCCUUGCUGGAUUGCCUCCCACUCAGAGAGGUGACCCAGCUGUGACCCAGACUCUGAACAGUUCUGUGUAAAUUUAAUUUUCAGCAUUACAUCAUUCCAACCGGAAUCUCACCUCCUUGCUUGCUGUUGUGCUGUGUGGCUUACCUGGUAGUGGGGAGACAAAAGGAGAGGAAGAAAACACACUGCAGGUUACGAAAUAGGAGACCAAGUGAGUUAGCCACAAGAAAAUUCAAAUGCUCAAUGGAUGACAAAGCAAGGCUGAAGUAUGGGAGUGUGAAGAGUUUGUUUCCUGACCAGCUUCAUUCAGGGAGACUGCCCCAGACAUUGUGAUGAAGACCUGGAACAAGAAAAUACCUCACAGAACUCUUGAAGCCUCAAACCUGUUAUUUACAAUGGGAUUGCAAUGUAUGAUGGCCUCAAAUUAGACUUUAUUAUAGCUUUAAUCCUCUUUCUUGCUUAUCUCUGAUUGUUGCUUUCUUAUCAGCAAGCAAGAACUGAUGCACAAAGAUGGACAGUUACUUCAGUAUUACAGUUUGCUUCCCCAUCACAGUGUAGCCAGCCACCUUGAUAUUUACAUACACAUAAUGGACUGCAGGGAAGUGCAGCACUUUGUGUUUUUUUAGGAGUCAGUCAUCUUGAGUCAUCUUAAAAAAAAUCACCUUUGUGUGUGUUUGCAACAUAUAAUUACAGGAGAAGCAGUAGUAACAACUUCCAAAUGAACAUUACCAAAUACUUUCCAGUAGAAAAAUGAUUAUGAUCUUUUGUGAAAUGUUCUGUGCCUCCAUGGCUAGCAACGGGCCUUUGAAACUUGACAGGAGGAUAAUCCUGGCACCCUUUUUGUUGGCUUUAUGAAAACAAAACAAAAAAGACCAAAAU